This is a long non-coding RNA of Labeo rohita (rohu), 1211 nucleotides long. RefSeq lists it as uncharacterized. The record is from RefSeq and is a predicted model, not a curated record. Lineage: Eukaryota; Metazoa; Chordata; Actinopteri; Cypriniformes; Cyprinidae. The transcript is spliced from 5 exons.
ACAACUUCAGUCUGCUUUUGUUUUCACGUAGAAAAGAUAUGAAGGCACUAUUAACCCAUGGCGGCAGCUGUUCUCGACAAAAUAAGAAAGUGCAAACAAAUUGAAAGAGCUCAAAGUCAGGGAAAUUGUGGUAGCCGAGGUAGACCAGCCAUUCAAAUAACACAUGACCAAACUGAAUUUUUAAUGAAGCAAGGUCACACAGUCAAACGAAUGGCAAGAAUGUUAGGGUGCUCCUCCUCAUUCUUGUACAAGAGGUCCAAGCUGCUUGGUGUAUCAAUCAGGAGCAGAAUGUCAAGAGUGGAUGAUGGAGAACUUGAAAAUGUAGUGAGACGACUACAAUGCCAGUAUCCAAAUACUGGAAGUAAGAUGAUGUGAGCCUUACUGGUUGCAGAAGGAUUAAAGGUUUCCCGCCAAAGGGUUCGUGAGAUGUUGGUCCUUAUCAAUCCAGCGGCUGCUGCAAGGAGAUGGAACAGCACAGUGACUAGAAGAGUUUAUCAUGUGCCCUAUCCCAACAGUCUCUGGCACAUUGAUGGCAACAUGCGGCUCAUAAGGUGUGGAGGAGAGGGAGGUGAUCGCUCUCACCUGCUGCUCAUUACUGGGCUGAGGUUGCAAACAAAGGUUGCUCAGCAUGCCAGCCACAUUGAAGGUUGCCUUCCGGAGUGCUGUUCCCCUUUGCCUGCCUUGUGUUGCUGUUUGUUGUGUCUCAGACUUUGGUCUUGUGUAAAAUCUACAAGUUACGGCUUAUUGUAGCCCUUUUUGAUCUGUCAUUUGAGUUCCUGUGUAUUGGAAGCUGUAGAGAGAUGGGGCUUUGUGAUUCAUGGUGCAAUCGAUGGACAUUCAUGACUAAUCACAUACCUAAACUGCAACACCGACAACUGUGCCAGUACUGUACCGUCUCAGUUUAUUCAAGCAACAUGCCUUUAUGGUCUGGCCUCUAGGGUAAGGUCAGAUCACAGUGGUGAAAACUUACAAGUGGCCUUGUUCAUGAACCUUGUACAAGGACUUCAGUGCUGGAGUCACAUCACUGGGGAAUCAGUUCACAACCAAAGGAUAGAACGUUUGUGGAGGGAUGUAUUUUUACAUGUUCUAUACAGUCUUGAAGAUUCUGAACUUCUUGAUCCCAGCAAUGACCUUCACAAAGUUUCACUCAGCAUAGUUUUUCUUCCACAGAUCCAAGCUAGACUACAGCACUUCAAAGAGGCAUGGAAUCA